This is a long non-coding RNA of Parasteatoda tepidariorum (common house spider), 778 nucleotides long. The record is from RefSeq and is a predicted model, not a curated record. NCBI's taxonomy places the organism in Eukaryota, Metazoa, Arthropoda, Arachnida, Araneae, Theridiidae.
AAUAAGCUAAAGAACUUUUGAGUUGAUAGAAACAAAACUUGAAAUUAAUUUAUAUUUUUUAAUUUCAUAAGGAUCCCAUUAUAGAUCUUUGAUAUUCUGAAUUCGAUGCAUCAAAUUUAAAACGGUGAUUUUGGCAAAUAAGUUUACAUGAGUUGAAAAUUUUCUGAUUUAUUUAAACAUAUUUGUAAUUAAGCAUUUGCUCUAAUUCAAUGCUUAUGUUUUGUAACUUUCUUGAAAAUUUUCUAUCUUAAAGAAGUUCGAAAAAUUCAUAAAGAUUUUUAAAAAAAAAUCAUGUAUACAUACAUAUUUCUCUUCACUUUGAAUUGGAACAUACAACGUCUAUAACAGCUUUCCAUCUCACGCUAUUUGGGGUCAGAUACUUGCCAUUCCUCCAAUUCACUUAUAAUUGUGCGGUGCUAAUUGUUUUUAGGUCUUCCCCUUCCUCUAUUGUCCCUUGAGCGUAAAAAUCAAAUUUUUUGUUUCACUUUAAAUUUCUAUAAUAUAUAUAUAUUGUAUAUAUAUUGUAUAUAUUGUAUAUAUCUCAUAUAUAUAUAUUGUAUUUAUAUAAAUCUAUUUCGCUUCAUAAAACUAAAAUAAAAUUUUUCCUUGAAUAAAAUAAUGACUUUUUCUUUUAGUUGCCGGUAUUGUCAGAGGUUUUGGAAAAUAAAUUAAGGCAUAAGCAGAUUGCAGGGAACUGGACCUACACAAGAUGGCUUGUGACAAAAGAUAAAACAAAAUGUUAAAUUAAAUUGCAUGGAAAUAAAGUUUUAUAAUUGAA